UACCCUACAGCUAGCUUAAGUCACAACUUUUAACAUUCACUAUCAACAACCCUAAAAAAUUUUUUAAUUCUCUUAACCUAAA
RNAcentral lists this ribosomal RNA (82 nucleotides) under Rachovia maculipinnis. Its description in RNAcentral is "partial 16S ribosomal RNA". The record is from RNAcentral. Lineage: Eukaryota; Metazoa; Chordata; Actinopteri; Cyprinodontiformes; Rivulidae.